Molecule: ribosomal RNA, 208 nt
Filed under: uncultured bacterium
Lineage: Bacteria
Also listed under: 1 other name
Description: partial 16S ribosomal RNA
Rfam family: Bacterial small subunit ribosomal RNA
Source: RNAcentral
CAUGUAGGCGGAUUAAUAAGUUUGAAGUGAAAUCCUAUAGCUUAACUAUAGAACUGCUUUGAAAACUGUUAAUCUAGAAUGUGGGAGAGGUAGAUGGAAUUUCUGGUGUAGGGGUAAAAUCCGUAGAGAUCAGAAGGAAUACCGAUUGCGAAGGCGAUCUACUGGAACAUUAUUGACGCUGAGAUGCGAAAGCGUGGGGAGCAAACAG